This is a long non-coding RNA of Octopus sinensis (East Asian common octopus), 150 nucleotides long. RefSeq lists it as uncharacterized. NCBI's taxonomy places the organism in Eukaryota, Metazoa, Mollusca, Cephalopoda, Octopoda, Octopodidae. The transcript has 3 exons. The record is from RefSeq and is a predicted model, not a curated record.
AAAAAACGUAGACAAAAUGAGAAACGAGAACAAAAAACAAAAGCAUAGAAAACGAACAUUUUUCGAACAAUGAAAAAACCCAGAGAAACGAGAUAUGCAACAUAAAGAACAUUCCCUCCAUCAGUCGUCCCCUCAGAUCGGAAGAGCGUC